RNAcentral lists this ribosomal RNA (490 nucleotides) under uncultured bacterium. RNAcentral describes it as "partial 16S ribosomal RNA". It matches the Rfam family "Bacterial small subunit ribosomal RNA", at positions 29 to 507 of the family's 1533-position model. The record is from RNAcentral.
AUUGAACGCUGGCGGCAGGCCUAACACAUGCGGGUCGAACGGUAACAGGAAGAAGCUUGCUUCUUUGCGGACGAGUGGGGGAGGGGGGAGUAAAGUCUGGGAAAAUGCCUGAUGGAGGGGGGGAACUACUGGAAACGGUAGCGAAUAUAGCAUAACGGAGCAAGAGGAAAGAGGGGGACAUCCGGGGAUCUUGCCAGCGGAUGUGCCCAGAUGGGGUUAGCUAGAGGGGGGGGUAACGGCGCACCUAGGCGACGAUCCCUAGCUGGUCUGAGAGGAUGAGCAGCCACACUGGAACUGAGACACGGUCCAGACUCCUACGGGAGGCAGCAGUGGGGAAUAUUGCACAAUGGGCGCAAGCCUGAUCCAGCCAUGCCGCGUGUAUGAAGAAGGCCUUCGGGUUGUAAAGUACUUUCAGCGGGGAGGAAGGGAGUAAGGUUAAUACCCUUCCUCAUUGACGUUACCCGCAGAAGAAGCACCGGCUAACUCCGUG